RNAcentral lists this transfer RNA (77 nucleotides) under Fidelibacterota bacterium. RNAcentral describes it as "tRNA-Pro". It matches the Rfam family "tRNA". From Rfam's summary of the family: Transfer RNA (tRNA) molecules are approximately 80 nucleotides in length. Their secondary structure includes four short double-helical elements and three loops (D, anti-codon, and T loops). Lineage: Bacteria; Pseudomonadati; Fidelibacterota. The record is from RNAcentral.
CGGAGCGUGGCGUAGCCCGGUAGCGCACUGCAAUGGGGUUGCAGGGGUCGCAGGUUCAAAUCCUGUCGCUCCGACGA